AUUGAACGCUGGCGGCAUGCCUUACACAUGCAAGUCGAACGGCAGCACGGGAGCAAUCCUGGUGGCGAGUGGCGAACGGGUGAGUAACAUAUCGGAACGUGCCCAGUAGUGGGGGAUAACCCGGCGAAAAGCCGGACUAAUACCGCAUACGACCUACGGGUGAAAGCAGGGGAUCGCAAGACCUUGCGCUAUCGGAGCGGCCGAUAUCAGAUUAGCUUGUUGGUGGGGUAAAAGCCUACCAAGGCGACGAUCUGUAGCUGGUCUGAGAGGACGACCAGCCACACUGGGACUGAGACACGGUCCAGACUCCUACGGGAGGCAGCAGUGGGGAAUUUUGGACAAUGGGCGCAAGCCUGAUCCAGCCAUUCCGCGUGCAGGAUG
This 381-nucleotide ribosomal RNA is filed under the name uncultured bacterium. Its description in RNAcentral is "bacterial SSU rRNA". It matches the Rfam family "Bacterial small subunit ribosomal RNA", at positions 30 to 410 of the family's 1533-position model. The record is from RNAcentral.